CCUACGGGGGGCUGCAGUGGGGAAUAUUGGACAAUGGGGGGAACCCUGAUCCAGCCAUGCCGCGUGUGUGAAGAAGGCCCUCGGGUUGUAAAGCACUUUCAGUGAGGAAGAACGCCUGGUGGUUAAUACCCAUCAGGAAAGACAUCACUCACAGAAGAAGCACCGGCUAACUCCGUGCCAGCAGCCGCGGUAAUACGGAGGGUGCGAGCGUUAAUCGGAAUUACUGGGCGUAAAGCGCGCGUAGGUGGCUUGAUAAGCCGGUUGUGAAAGCCCCGGGCUCAACCUGGGAACGGCAUCCGGAACUGUCAAGCUAGAGUGCAGGAGAGGAAGGUAGAAUUCCCGGUGUAGCGGUGAAAUGGGUAGAGAUCGGGAGGAAUACCAGUGGCGAAGGCGGCCUUCUGGACUGACACUGACACUGAGGUGCGAAAGCGUGGGUAGCAAACAGGAUUAGAUACCCCAGUAGUC
Molecule: ribosomal RNA, 465 nt
Filed under: Vreelandella stevensii
Lineage: Bacteria; Pseudomonadati; Pseudomonadota; Gammaproteobacteria; Oceanospirillales; Halomonadaceae
Description: partial 16S ribosomal RNA
Rfam family: Bacterial small subunit ribosomal RNA
Source: RNAcentral